GAACCAUGAUUGUUAUUCUACUGCUUAGUUUAGGCAUGGUGAAAGAAAGAAAUGUCAGUUUCAUCAUUUGUGUUAUAAAAGAUAAAGGUCAGUGUGUCAAGAAUUAUACUCAUUUUACACAACAUAGUUUUAAUCCAAUUAAAUAUUUCACAGUCCUUUU
This is a long non-coding RNA of Sapajus apella (tufted capuchin), 160 nucleotides long. RefSeq lists it as uncharacterized. Lineage: Eukaryota; Metazoa; Chordata; Mammalia; Primates; Cebidae. The transcript has 2 exons. The record is from RefSeq and is a predicted model, not a curated record.